GACAGAGGGUGCAAACGUUGUUCGGAAUUAUUGGGCGUAAAGGGCGCGUAGGCGGCUUGGCAAGUGGAUGGUGAAAUCCCUCGGCUUAACCGAGGAACUGCCGUCCAAACUGCUUAGCUUGAGACCGGGAGAGGUGAGUGGAAUUCCCAGUGUAGCGGUGAAAUGCGUAGAUAUUGGGAGGAACACCAGUGGCGAAGGCGGCUCACUGGACCGGUACUGACGCUGAGGCGCGAAAGCUAGGGGAGCAAACGGG
This 253-nucleotide ribosomal RNA is filed under the name uncultured bacterium. Its description in RNAcentral is "partial 16S ribosomal RNA". It matches the Rfam family "Bacterial small subunit ribosomal RNA", at positions 524 to 776 of the family's 1533-position model. The record is from RNAcentral.